This 252-nucleotide ribosomal RNA is filed under the name uncultured bacterium. RNAcentral's name for it is "partial 16S ribosomal RNA". It matches the Rfam family "Bacterial small subunit ribosomal RNA", at positions 524 to 776 of the family's 1533-position model. The record is from RNAcentral.
UACGUAGGGUGCGAGCGUUGUCCGGAAUUAUUGGGCGUAAAGGGCUCGUAGGCGGUUUGUCGCGUCGGGAGUGAAAACUCAGGGCUUAACCCUGAGCCUGCUUCCGAUACGGGCAGACUAGAGGUAUGCAGGGGAGAACGGAAUUCCUGGUGUAGCGGUGAAAUGCGCAGAUAUCAGGAGGAACACCGGUGGCGAAGGCGGUCUCUGGGCAUUACCUGACGCUGAGGAGCGAAAGUGUGGGGAGCGAACAGG